AUUGAACGCUGGCGGUAGGCCUAACACAUGCAAGUCGAACGCGAAAGUCCUUCGGGACGAGUAAAGUGGCGCACGGGUGAGUAACGCGUGGAUAAUCUGCCCUUCAGUUGGGAAUAACUCAUCGAAAGGUGAGCUAAUACCGAAUAACACUGCCUGACCACGGUCCGGUAGUCAAAGAUAGCCUCUGCUUGCAAGCUUUCGCUGAAAGAUGAGUCCGCGUACCAUUAGCUAGUUGGUGGGGUAAUGGCCUACCAAGGCGACGAUGGUUAGCUGGUCUGAGAGGAUGAUCAGCCACACUGGAACUGAGACACGGUCCAGACUCCUACGGGAGGCAGCAGUGGGGAAUAUUGGACAAUGGGGGGCAACCCUGAUCCAGCCAUGCCGCGUGUGUGAAGAAGGCCUUCGGGUUGUUAAGCACUUUCUAGUCGAGAAGAAAAGGACGUGCGGUGAAGUAACU
This 457-nucleotide ribosomal RNA is filed under the name uncultured bacterium. RNAcentral describes it as "bacterial SSU rRNA". It matches the Rfam family "Bacterial small subunit ribosomal RNA", at positions 30 to 470 of the family's 1533-position model. The record is from RNAcentral.